This 546-nucleotide ribosomal RNA is filed under the name Mesotopus regius. Its description in RNAcentral is "partial 16S ribosomal RNA". Lineage: Eukaryota; Metazoa; Arthropoda; Insecta; Coleoptera; Lucanidae. The record is from RNAcentral.
UAAAAAUAGAUUUUAUAAAAAAAUUUUCUCGAAUUAAAGUGAGCUAAGAGGUUAUAAAUUUCACUGUAGAAGAAUUGUUUAUAAUAACUUUUUAGGAGUUAAAUAUUAGUCGUUCUUUAAUAUAUCUAGUUUUUUUAGAAAUUGAUUUAAUCAAGCUGGAAAGUUAAGAUACUUUAUUGAUAAAGUAUUUCGUUUUUUUAGGUAAUAUCUAUAGGGAUAAGCUUUUAGAUAUAAAUUCAAAAUUAUUUGUUUUAAAGAUUUAUAGGAAUAGAAGUUUUCAUUGGUUGUAGUGUGUUAUAACAAAAUUUUUAUUAUAAUAAUUUUUUUAAAAAUUUAGGUUGGUUAUAUAAAUGGAGAAAUUAAUUUUAAUUUUCAAGGAAUAAUGAUUGAAUUAGUAUGUUUUUAUGUAAAAGUAAAUAAGUAAUGAAAGGUUAAUUUAAGGAAUUCGGCAAAGUUAUUUUCUGCCUGUUUAUUAAAGACAUGGCCUUUUGAGAAUAAUAUAAGGUCUGGCCUGCCCAAUGAUUAUUUUAAUGGCCGCGGUAUUUU